ACGUAGGAGGCUAGCGUUAUCCGGAUUUAUUGGGCGUAAAGCGCGUGCAGGCGGUCUAUCAAGUUGGAUGUGAAAGCUCCUGGCUUAACUGGGAGAGGGCGUUCAAAACUGAUAGUCUAGAGAAUGGUAGAGGGAGGUGGAAUUCCGGGUGUAGUGGUGAAAUGCGUAGAUAUCAGUAGGAACACCAGUGGCGAAAGCGGCCUCCUGGGCCAUUACUGACGCUAAGAUGCGAAAGCGAGGGUAGCAAACAG
This 251-nucleotide ribosomal RNA is filed under the name uncultured prokaryote. RNAcentral's name for it is "partial 16S rRNA". It matches the Rfam family "Bacterial small subunit ribosomal RNA", at positions 525 to 775 of the family's 1533-position model. The record is from RNAcentral.